AAUCUGAGAGGCUCUGAAUGUUUAGUGGUCAAUCAGAAUGAGCUCCUUAAGGUAAUUUAAAGUUUAGAUAGCUGAAAUCAGUUGGCUUAUGAUUAGGGCCAUGCAUAGAAGUCAAAGUCUAUGAUUCUGUUUCUGACCCCUUGAGAAGAGAGGCCUUCUCUUCAGCUGCAGGUUUGAUGAUUAAUCAAGAUAGUAAAUGUGAAAGCAAUUAGUAAACUGUAAGGCAAGGAGGUAAGGUAUUUAUUGAUAUAAUAGUUUUCCAUCUUUGCUGCCUUUCAUUGUUAAGUGACCAAGGCUUUGAGAAUGAAUGACUUGCCUGUUUGAGUCUACAUGGCUUGAAAAAAUGAUAGAGAUGGAAUGCACAUCUUUGUCUUUUAAUUUUGACGUUUGACAAAAUGUCAGGGCUCAGUGUUGGGACCAUAGUGAUAGCCAAGACAGAUACAGGAUCCCUGUCCACAUGGAGCGUCAGUCUAUCCCAAAUACAGUGCUCUUUCAGUCAAUCCAUAUUUUCUUCUUUAACUGACGAGAGGGAAUACUUUUUCUAUGAAUUGAUAUGUGGCUUUUAUAAGAUGCUAAAUGUGCUUAUGGCUAAGCCUUGACUAUGGAGCCCUUUAAGUGGUUUCUCUGUCCCCAAAGGUGCCUUCAAUAGCUGCCCAGUAAACUUCCGAUCUCACUGGAUGGGCCUUUUAUUCAUCUCCAUUGUGGAGAGAGGAGUUGGAUGCCUCUCAGCAUCCUUCUCAUGGUCAAUCAGAGGCUUGUUGCAGAAAAAUACUUUUCUCUCCUACUCUGCAGAAUCAAAGGAAUCAGAUGGCCUCAAGGGCUGGGGACAGCACUUUACUAUGGAUAAUGCUGCUAUGAACAUUUGUGAACAAGUUUCAAUGGGACACGUGUUUUCAUUUCUCUUGGGUAUAUACGUCAAAGUGGAAUUGCUGGUUCACUUGAUGACUCAACAGUAAACACUUAGAGGAACUGCCAGACCAUUUUCCAAGUUUCCUCAGGCUUCUCUGGUGGCUCAGUGCUAAAGAAUCUGCCUGCCAGUGCAGGAAACAUGGGUUCGCUAUCUGGUGAGGGAAGAUCCUGCAUGCUGUGGAGCAGCUGAGCCCAUGUGCCACAACUAGUGGGUCUGUGCUCCAGAACCCAGGAACUGCGACUACGGAAGCUCACCUCCCACAGCUACUGAAGCGUGUGUGCCCUGAGCCCAUGCUCUGCAACAAGAGAAAAGCCCAUGCAGCAGUGAAGACCCAGCAGAGCCAAAAAUAAAGAAUAAAUAAAUUUUAAAAAGUUAAAAAAAUUUCCUCAUUAAAAGGGAGUCCUCAGGUUGGGGCUAUUCUGGGGAAAGGUGUCACCAUGCACAACAAACUAACUUUAUUAUCAUUUUUUUUUCAAACUAACUUUAAAAAGCAUGUUGAUUAAAAAAAAAUGUGAGUGCACUUGGGAAUUCCUUGAAUUCUGUGCAAUAAACAUUUUUAAAACAAAAAAACAGCAAAAAAAAAAAAAAAAGACCCUAGCUGGGCUGCAUAGAUUGGAGCAGCCCCUCUUGUUCUCUGUCUGAAAAUGGUUCUCUGUUGUUUGAGAACAGCUCUUAAGCACACAGGAGAGCCCCACCUCAGGCUCUUUAUGUUGACACCAUGUUCACUCAUCAAAUGUUUACUGAACACAGUCUGGGCCAGGCACUGAGCUAGGCCCCACAGCCUCUGCCCUCAUAGAAACAGCAGUCUAGACCAAAGGUUGGCAAACUCUGUAAAGGGACAGAUAAUAAGUACUUAUCUGGGUUAUGGUCUCUGUCUCGACUACCUAAUUCUGCUCAAAAGCUGUUGUAGACAGGAUGUAAGUGAAUGAGCUUGUCUGUGUUCCAGUGAACUUUAUUUGUGGGCACUCACAUUUUGAUUUUUUACUGUCACAUGUCACAAACUAUUAUUC
Bos taurus (domestic cattle) is the source of this 1920-nucleotide long non-coding RNA. The record is from Ensembl. NCBI's taxonomy places the organism in Eukaryota, Metazoa, Chordata, Mammalia, Artiodactyla, Bovidae.